Unclassified non-coding RNA from Colobus angolensis palliatus, 287 nucleotides. It matches the Rfam family "Metazoan signal recognition particle RNA". From Rfam's summary of the family: The signal recognition particle (SRP) is a universally conserved ribonucleoprotein. It is involved in the co-translational targeting of proteins to membranes. NCBI's taxonomy places the organism in Eukaryota, Metazoa, Chordata, Mammalia, Primates, Cercopithecidae. The record is from Ensembl.
GCCAGGCACAGUGGCUCACACCUAUAGUUCGUUAUUUGGAAAUCCGAGGCAGGUGGAUCACUUGAGUCCAGGAGUUCUGGAUUAUGCCAAUCAGGUGUCUGCACUAAGUUUGCCAUCAAUAUGGUGACUUCCCAGGAGCUGGGAACCACCAGGUUGCCUAAGGAGAGGGGAGCCAGCCCAGGUCAGAAACAGAGCAGGUCAAAACUCCCAUGCUGAUCAGUAGUGGGAUUGCACCUGUGAAUAGCCACUGUACUCCGGCCAGUACAACAUAGCAAGACCUUGUCUUA